GCGCCAGACUCCUACGGGAGGCAGCAGUGGGGAAUAUUGCACAAUGGGGGAAACCCUGAUGCAGCGACGCCGCGUGAGUGAAGAAGUAUUUCGGUAUGUAAAGCUCUAUCAGCAGGGAAGAAAAUGACGGUACCUGAUUAAGAAGCCCCGGCUAACUACGUGCCAGCAGCCGCGGUAAUACGUAGGGGGCAAGCGUUAUCCGGAUUUACUGGGUGUAAAGGGAGCGUAGACGGCAGCACAAGUCUGGAGUGAAAUGCCGGGGCUUAACCCCGGAACUGCUCUUGGAACUGCGUGGCUGGAGUGCAGGAGGGGCAGGCGGAAUUCCUGGUGUAGCGGUGAAAUGCGUAGAUAUCAGGAGGAACACCGGUGGCGAAGGCGGCCUGCUGGACUGCAACUGACGUUGAGUCCCGAAAGCGUGGGGAGCAAACAGGAUUAGAUACCCCUGUA
This 447-nucleotide ribosomal RNA is filed under the name uncultured bacterium. RNAcentral describes it as "bacterial SSU rRNA". It matches the Rfam family "Bacterial small subunit ribosomal RNA", at positions 328 to 792 of the family's 1533-position model. The record is from RNAcentral.